This 497-nucleotide ribosomal RNA is filed under the name uncultured bacterium. RNAcentral's name for it is "partial 16S ribosomal RNA". It matches the Rfam family "Bacterial small subunit ribosomal RNA", at positions 28 to 507 of the family's 1533-position model. The record is from RNAcentral.
GAUGAACGCUGGCGGCGUGCCUAAUACAUGCAAGUCGAGCGAACAGACGAGGAGCUUGCUCCUCUGACGUUAGCGGCGGACGGGUGAGUAACACGUGGAUAACCUACCUAUAAGACUGGGAUAACUUCGGGAAACCGGAGCUAAUACCGGAUAACAUGCUGAACCGCAUGGUUCAACAGUGAAAGACGGUCUUGCUGUCACUUAUAGAUGGAUCCGCGCCGCAUUAGCUAGUUGGUAAGGUAACGGCUUACCAAGGCAACGAUGCGUAGCCGACCUGAGAGGGUGAUCGGCCACACUGGAACUGAGACACGGUCCAGACUCCUACGGGAGGCAGCAGUAGGGAAUCUUCCGCAAUGGGCGAAAGCCUGACGGAGCAACGCCGCGUGAGUGAAGAAGGUCUUCGGAUCGUAAAACUCUGUUAUUAGGGAAGAACAAAUGUGUAAGUAACUAUGCACGUCUUGACGGUACCUAAUCAGAAAGCCACGGCUAACUACGUG